CGCGCUCCUCACAAUUAGUUUGUUUAUUAAUUGAGCAUGUGGCCGUCACAAGGAUGACGUAACACCAGCAGUUACGGGACUUAGUCAAUAACUGCAAAAUGGUGU
Molecule: small RNA, 105 nt
Filed under: unclassified sequences
Description: COG3943 RNA
Rfam family: COG3943 RNA
About the family: cow rumen. Environment (Cow rumen (57))
Source: Rfam by way of RNAcentral